UACGGGAGGCAGCAGUGGGGAAUAUUGCACAAUGGGCGCAAGCCUGAUGCAGCCAUGCCGCGUGUAUGAAGAAGGCCUUCGGGUUGUAAAGUACUUUCAGUCGUGAGGAAGGUGUUAAGGUUAAUAACCUUAGCAAUUGACGUUAGCGACAGAAGAAGCACCGGCUAACUCCGUGCCAGCAGCCGCGGUAAUACGGAGGGUGCGAGCGUUAAUCGGAAUUACUGGGCGUAAAGGGCACGCAGGCGGUUAAUUAAGUUGGAUGUGAAAUCCCCGGGCUUAACCUGGGAAUGGCAUUCAAGACUGGUUAGCUAGAGUCUUGUAGAGGGGGUAGAAUUCCAUGUGUAGCGGUGAAAUGCGUAGAGAUGUGGAGGAAUACCGGUGGCGAAGGCGGCCCCUGGACAAAAGACUGACGCUCAUGUGCGAAAGCGUGGGGAGCAAACAGGAUUAAGAUACC
RNAcentral lists this ribosomal RNA (454 nucleotides) under uncultured bacterium. RNAcentral's name for it is "bacterial SSU rRNA". It matches the Rfam family "Bacterial small subunit ribosomal RNA", at positions 340 to 786 of the family's 1533-position model. The record is from RNAcentral.